Molecule: ribosomal RNA, 798 nt
Filed under: Lacticaseibacillus rhamnosus
Lineage: Bacteria; Bacillati; Bacillota; Bacilli; Lactobacillales; Lactobacillaceae
Description: bacterial SSU rRNA
Rfam family: Bacterial small subunit ribosomal RNA
Source: RNAcentral
GCAAGUCGAACGAGUUCUGAUUAUUGAAAGGUGCUUGCAUCUUGAUUUAAUUUUGAACGAGUGGCGGACGGGUGAGUAACACGUGGGUAACCUGCCCUUAAGUGGGGGAUAACAUUUGGAAACAGAUGCUAAUACCGCAUAAAUCCAAGAACCGCAUGGUUCUUGGCUGAAAGAUGGCGUAAGCUAUCGCUUUUGGAUGGACCCGCGGCGUAUUAGCUAGUUGGUGAGGUAACGGCUCACCAAGGCAAUGAUACGUAGCCGAACUGAGAGGUUGAUCGGCCACAUUGGGACUGAGACACGGCCCAAACUCCUACGGGAGGCAGCAGUAGGGAAUCUUCCACAAUGGACGCAAGUCUGAUGGAGCAACGCCGCGUGAGUGAAGAAGGCUUUCGGGUCGUAAAACUCUGUUGUUGGAGAAGAAUGGUCGGCAGAGUAACUGUUGUCGGCGUGACGGUAUCCAACCAGAAAGCCACGGCUAACUACGUGCCAGCAGCCGCGGUAAUACGUAGGUGGCAAGCGUUAUCCGGAUUUAUUGGGCGUAAAGCGAGCGCAGGCGGUUUUUUAAGUCUGAUGUGAAAGCCCUCGGCUUAACCGAGGAAGUGCAUCGGAAACUGGGAAACUUGAGUGCAGAAGAGGACAGUGGAACUCCAUGUGUAGCGGUGAAAUGCGUAGAUAUAUGGAAGAACACCAGUGGCGAAGGCGGCUGUCUGGUCUGUAACUGACGCUGAGGCUCGAAAGCAUGGGUAGCGAACAGGAUUAGAUACCCUGGUAGUCCAUGCCGUAAACGAUGAAUGCUAG